RNAcentral lists this long non-coding RNA (683 nucleotides) under Numida meleagris (helmeted guineafowl). RNAcentral describes it as "lncRNA (ENSNMEG00000011668.1)". Lineage: Eukaryota; Metazoa; Chordata; Aves; Galliformes; Numididae. The record is from RNAcentral.
CCGGGCAGCCCCAUCCUCGGCGGCGCCGCGCACCGAGCCAACAUGGUGGCGGCCGCGCGGGGCGGAGGGGAGGCGAGGGGCAGCCCCCGAUCGGGGCCUUUCGGGGAGGGCUGCCCGGAGCCCGGCUGCCUUCCUCCUGCUUGAUGAUGUUCAGGUGUGUGGCUUCAGUACGACUCCGAGCUCUUCCGCCUGCCGUGGGAAAGGCGUGGAGAAAUUACUCUCCGACCACGCAGCCGGGGUUGUCCAGGCUUGGUGUGUGUAAUGGGUUCGAGUCAAACAGGAUGAGGAAGGAGGAGCUGCACUCAUCUGCUGUAGCAUGUGUGGAAAACAGCGUGAGAUGCUGCUGCUGUCGUUUGCUGCUACCAGGUGCUGGGUACCAUUUCCUGACCAGUGUUCAGGCAAGAUCAGUGUCUGUGAACUCAUCAGCUGCACUGCAUUUCUGGUAUUCCAGGAAAAAUGCUGCUGUUAAGGCUGCUGCUUUGUCCUGCACUGUCAUCAGCCCGCUUCUUGAAGAGCUGGCUCUCAAGUGGGGAAACAAGAAGAGCAAAACCCAGCCAGAGCCCCCUGCACAAGUGUUUGUGCUGGGGAUACAUCACAGCUUUUUGGAACUUUUAAUGUUUGUAUUCUUCAAAAGGGGGGAAAAAAACUGCUACAUUCAGCAGAAAGCUCUCUAUAUACCGUGA